Xiphophorus maculatus (southern platyfish) is the source of this 948-nucleotide long non-coding RNA. RefSeq lists it as uncharacterized. The transcript is spliced from 3 exons. The record is from RefSeq and is a predicted model, not a curated record. Lineage: Eukaryota; Metazoa; Chordata; Actinopteri; Cyprinodontiformes; Poeciliidae.
CACGAAGAAGUUCAUAUGAUGCAGCUUUUAAGUUGAGGGAUAUCGAUCUGGCAGUACAGAUCGAAGCUCGGCAUGAACUAAUCCAUGGUUCAGCGUUGGAGACCCAGUGCCGCGUCCUUAAUAGCAGAUUUAUUAAGUUAAAUAGCAGCAGAGAUACCAGCGGCAUAUAGCCUGGUGCGGUUUAUAUAUGUACGUUUCCAGGUUUUUUUUUUUUUUUUUAACUUUGUAGGUGCGGCGUAUUGUGAGGUACACUCUAUAGUCCGGAAAAUACAGUAUUCAUUUAUGGGGCUUCCUUUUGAAUAGUAGGCUAUAGUGACUUGCUUGGAUUCGUUCAGCUGUAUAGUAGCAUUAUGUCACCUAGUUUUCUCACAGUUAUGUCAAAAGGUACAUUCAGUGGAGGGAUCGGUGGUAGAAAAAAAAAGAAUUAAAAAAAAGACAAGAAAAAGAUUGUUGCUGCCCUGAGAGCAACAUGAGGCACUAGUUUAGAUAUGUCGGAAUUUUGCGUCCUCUUGUGGUUACUUUUAAGAACAGCAGUCAUUUCACAGUUUGUAUUACUCCCUCAAAGACCCGCCUACCAGGUCGUAGCUUAUUGGUCAGCUGUUCUUAUAGAGGCACGGGAUUGGUCCGGAGGCGAUUGUCGUCAGCGAAGUCGGAAAACAAUAAACACACGGUUAAAUGGUAUUUAGUAACUUACAGUCUCCGAAAUGCCAACAUCUCCUGUGAAAACCCGGAUCCCCCUCACCAGCUUCGGUCAUCUCAUCACAGAGGUGAAGAAGCAGCUGUUUGGCAUCGAAGGACCCUCAUCUGUGCAGCUGACCGGUUGGAGGAAAUACUGCAAUAGCUACACGCUGCAGGGCCGCAGAAACAUACAUACCGUCAUCCCAGACAAGCUGGUGCUGAAGCUACUCGAGGUGGGGCUGCCCACUUCACUGUGCCACUGGAUCAGAG